RNAcentral lists this ribosomal RNA (253 nucleotides) under uncultured bacterium. Its description in RNAcentral is "partial 16S ribosomal RNA". It matches the Rfam family "Bacterial small subunit ribosomal RNA", at positions 524 to 776 of the family's 1533-position model. The record is from RNAcentral.
UACGAGGGGUGCAAUUGUUGUUCGGAAUCACUGGGCGUAAAGGGAGCGUAGGCGGGUUCUUAAGUAAGGUGUUUAAUCCCGGGGCCCAACCCCGGACCGGCACUUUAAACUGGGAAUCUUGAAUAGUGGAGAGGUCGGUGGAAUUGGGGGUGUAGCGGUGGAAUGCGUAGAGAUCCCCAAGAACACCAGUUGCGAAGGCGGCCGACUGGACACAUAUUGACGCUGAGGCUCGAAAGCAUGGGGAGCAAACAGG